RNAcentral lists this ribosomal RNA (495 nucleotides) under Triticum aestivum (bread wheat). Its description in RNAcentral is "partial small subunit ribosomal RNA". Lineage: Eukaryota; Viridiplantae; Streptophyta; Magnoliopsida; Poales; Poaceae. The record is from RNAcentral.
AUGAUCAAGAAGGCCAUCUUCGGCGGUGUUAACUUGCUCGUUGUCGAGCCGGAAGAAAGCACGCAUGGCCCCUAUAACAUCAUCAGGAAGCUUAUUUUUGAACUGAGCAGCAAAGGAAGCAAUUGCCUUCUCUGUAAUAUCUUCGCCAUCCUAGACAAUGCCCAGGUUGCGGCAGAUGCUUGCCUGAGCCUGUCUUGCUUGCGGUGUCUUCUGCGUUUGUCCACCAGCAUGAACACGUGCACUGACUCGCUUGACAAGCAGCCCAACACUGGUAAUGUUGACGCCCGCCAUCGUCUUCUGGCGAGCAGUGGGAGGCACCGGGGCAGGCGAAGCUGGCGUGCCCAGGAGCGGAGCCGUAGCUGGCACAAAGAGCUGUUCCAGCCCGGCCAGGCCGAGCUCAAGCUGCCUCGAGCGUGCCGGAGAGGGAGUGCGUCGCGGCGUCCACAUGGAGACCAGAGGUGGAGUGGGAGAGGCCUCGAAGCCCGGUGGUCUUGA